Non-coding RNA from Helianthus annuus (common sunflower), 112 nucleotides. NCBI's taxonomy places the organism in Eukaryota, Viridiplantae, Streptophyta, Magnoliopsida, Asterales, Asteraceae. The record is from Rfam.
UUUUGGGCUUAGUUGGCUAUGGAGCACAUGAAAAACUCCACAGUUAAGCGUGCUCAGGUAGGAGUAGUACCAGGAUGGGUGACCUUCUGGGAAGUCUCCACUGGGGCAACCA